UCGAGCGGUAGAGAGAAGCUUGCUUCUCUUGAGAGCGGCGGACGGGUGAGUAACACGUGGGCAACCUGCCCUGCAGACUGGGAUAACUUCGGGAAACCGGAGCUAAUACCGGAUAACACCGAAAACCGCAUGGUUUUCGGUUGAAAGGCGGCUUUUAGCUGUCACUGCAGGAUGGGCCCGCGGCGCAUUAGCUAGUUGGUGAGGUAACGGCUCACCAAGGCGACGAUGCGUAGCCGACCUGAGAGGGUGAUCCCCCACACUGGUACUGAGACACGGCCCAGACUCCUACGGGAGGCAGCAGUAGGGAAUCUUCCGCAAUGGACGAAAGUCUGACGGAGCAACGCCGCGUGAGCGAAGAAGGUCUUCGGAUCGUAAAGCUCUGUUGUCAGGGAAGAACAAGUGCCGUUCGAACAGGGCGGUACCUUGACGGUACCCGACGAGGAAGCCACGGCUAACUACGUGCCAGCAGCCGCGGUAAU
RNAcentral lists this ribosomal RNA (479 nucleotides) under uncultured bacterium. RNAcentral's name for it is "bacterial SSU rRNA". It matches the Rfam family "Bacterial small subunit ribosomal RNA", at positions 62 to 524 of the family's 1533-position model. The record is from RNAcentral.